Molecule: ribosomal RNA, 411 nt
Filed under: uncultured bacterium
Lineage: Bacteria
Description: bacterial SSU rRNA
Rfam family: Bacterial small subunit ribosomal RNA
Source: RNAcentral
AAUCAACGCUGGCGGCGUGCCUCAGACAUGCAAGUCGAACGCGAAAGUCUCCUUCGGGGGAUAAGUAGAGUGGCGCACGGGUGAGUAACACGUAGGUAAUCUACCUUCGGAUGGGGAAUAACAACCGGAAACGGUUGCUAAUACCGCAUAAUGCAGCGGCACCUAAUGGUGACAGUUGUUAAAGCGGGGGAUCGAAAGACCUCGCGUCUGAAGAGGAGCCUGCGGCGGAUAGCUAGUUGGUAGGGUAAUAGCCUACCAAGGCGACGAUCCGUAGCCGGCCUGAGAGGGCGGUCGGCCACACUGACACUGACAUACGGGUCAGACUCCUACGGGAGGCAGCAGUCGGGAAUUUUGGGCAAUGGGCGAAAGCCUGACCCAGCAACGCCGCGUGAAGGAUGAAAUCCCUCGGGA